GUGGGGAAUAUUGCACAAUGGGGGAAACCCUGAUGCAGCAACGCCGCGUGAGUGAUGACGGUCUUCGGAUUGUAAAGCUCUGUCUUUGGGGACGAUAAUGACGGUACCCAAGGAGGAAGCCACGGCUAACUACGUGCCAGCAGCCGCGGUAAUACGUAGGUGGCGAGCGUUGUCCGGAUUUACUGGGCGUAAAGGGAGCGUAGGCGGAUUUUUAAGUGGGAUGUGAAAUACCCGGGCUCAACCUGGGUGCUGCAUUCCAAACUGGGAAUCUAGAGUGCAGGAGGGGAGAGUGGAAUUCCUAGUGUAGCGGUGAAAUGCGUAGAGAUUAGGAAGAACACCAGUGGCGAAGGCGACUCUCUGGACUGUAACUGACGCUGAGGCUCGAAAGCGUGGGGAGCGAACAGGAUUAGAUACCCUUGUAGUCC
This 425-nucleotide ribosomal RNA is filed under the name uncultured bacterium. RNAcentral describes it as "bacterial SSU rRNA". It matches the Rfam family "Bacterial small subunit ribosomal RNA", at positions 354 to 796 of the family's 1533-position model. The record is from RNAcentral.